RNAcentral lists this transfer RNA (88 nucleotides) under Microbispora corallina. RNAcentral describes it as "tRNA-Arg". The record is from RNAcentral. Lineage: Bacteria; Bacillati; Actinomycetota; Actinomycetes; Streptosporangiales; Streptosporangiaceae.
GGUCGUCCAGGGCGGCGUGGAGCGCGGUGCGGACGCGCGGGCCGUCGGCCGGCCAGCCGCGGCCCGUUCCGAGGCGGGUGACGACGGC